This 253-nucleotide ribosomal RNA is filed under the name uncultured Microcella sp. RNAcentral's name for it is "partial 16S ribosomal RNA". It matches the Rfam family "Bacterial small subunit ribosomal RNA", at positions 524 to 776 of the family's 1533-position model. The record is from RNAcentral. Lineage: Bacteria; Bacillati; Actinomycetota; Actinomycetes; Micrococcales; Microbacteriaceae.
UACAGAGAGGGCAAGCGUUGUCCGGAAUUAUUGGGCGUAAAGAGCUCGUAGGCGGUUUGUCGCGUCUGCUGUGAAAACGCGAGGCUCAACCUCGCGCCUGCAGUGGGUACGGGCAGACUAGAGUGCGGUAGGGGAGAUUGGAAUUCCUGGUGUAGCGGUGGAAUGCGCAGAUAUCAGGAGGAACACCGAUGGCGAAGGCAGAUCUCUGGGCCGUAACUGACGCUGAGGAGCGAAAGCGUGGGGAGCGAACAGG